GGUUUCACUAUGCAGUUUAGGCUGGCCUUGAGCUCACUUUGUAGCCCAGGCUGGCCUUGAACUUGCAAUGAUUUUCCUGCCUCAGCCUCCCGAGUGCUGGGAUUACAGGCAUGCGCCACCACACCCG
This 127-nucleotide microRNA precursor is filed under the name Chinchilla lanigera (long-tailed chinchilla). RNAcentral's name for it is "miRNA (ENSCLAG00000021321.1)". The record is from RNAcentral. Lineage: Eukaryota; Metazoa; Chordata; Mammalia; Rodentia; Chinchillidae.